UACGGAAGGCAGCAGUGGGGAAUAUUGCACAAUGGGCGCAAGCCUGAUGCAGCCAUGCCGCGUGUAUGAAAAAGGCCUUCGGGUUGUAAAGUACUUUCAGUCGUGAGGAAGGUGUUAAGGUUAAUAACCUUAGCAAUUGACGUUAGCGACAGAAGAAGCACCGGCUAACUCCGUGCCAGCAGCCGCGGUAAUACGGAGGGUGCGAGCGUUAAUCGGAAUUGCUGGGCGUAAAGGGCACGCAGGCGGUUAAUUAAGUUGGAUGUGAAAUCCCCGGGCUUAACCUGGGAAUGGCAUUCAAGACUGGUUAGCUAGAGUCUUGUAGAGGGGGUAGAAUUCCAUGUGUAGCGGUGAAAUGCGUAGAGAUGUGGAGGAAUACCGGUGGCGAAGGCGGCCCCUGGGACAAAGACUGACGCUCAUGUGCGAAAGCGUGGGGAGCAAACAGGAUUAGAUACC
RNAcentral lists this ribosomal RNA (453 nucleotides) under uncultured bacterium. RNAcentral's name for it is "bacterial SSU rRNA". It matches the Rfam family "Bacterial small subunit ribosomal RNA", at positions 340 to 786 of the family's 1533-position model. The record is from RNAcentral.